GAUGAACGCUAGCGGCAGGCUUAAUACAUGCAAGUCGUGGGAGAAUGAGGCUUCGGCCUCAGGGAACCGGCGCACGGGUGCGUAACGCGUACACAACAUGCCUUAUACUGGAGUAUAGCCUCGGGAAACUGGGAGUAAUCCUCCAUAACAUUAUCGGGUGGCAUCAUCUGGUAAUUAAAGCUCAGGCGGUAUAAGAUUGGUGUGCGUAUGAUUAGCUAGUUGGUAGGGUAAUGGCCUACCAAGGCGACCAUCAUUAGCUGGCGUGAGAGCGCGACCAGCCACACUGGAACUGAGACACGGUCCAGACUCCUACGGGAGGCAGCAGUAGGGAAUAUUGGACAAUGGGCGAAAGCCUGAUCCAGCCAUGCCGCGUGAUGGAUGAAGGCCCUCUGGGUUGUAAACAUCUUUUAUCAGGGAAGAAACACCUCGUUUCUACGAGGCUUGACGGUACCUGAUGAAUAAGCACCGGCUAACUCCGUGCCAGCAGCCGCAGUAA
Molecule: ribosomal RNA, 496 nt
Filed under: uncultured bacterium
Lineage: Bacteria
Description: partial 16S ribosomal RNA
Rfam family: Bacterial small subunit ribosomal RNA
Source: RNAcentral